This 494-nucleotide ribosomal RNA is filed under the name uncultured bacterium. RNAcentral describes it as "partial 16S ribosomal RNA". It matches the Rfam family "Bacterial small subunit ribosomal RNA", at positions 28 to 507 of the family's 1533-position model. The record is from RNAcentral.
GACGAACGCUGACGGCGUGCUUAACACAUGCAAGUCGAACGGUGAAGCGCCUUCCUUUUUGGUGGGUGUGGAUGAGUGGCGAACGGGUGAGUAACACGUGAGUAACCUGCCCCCUUCUUCUGGAUAACCGCAUGAAAGUGUGGCUAAUACGGGAUAUUCUGGGUCUGUCGCAUGAUGGGUCUGGGAAAGAUAUUGUUUCGGUGGGGGAUGGGCUCGCGGCCUAUCAGCUUGUUGGUGGGGUGAUGGCCUACCAAGGCGGUGACGGGUAGCCGGCCUGAGAGGGUGGACGGCCACACUGGGAAUGAGACACGGACCAGACUCCGACGGGAGGCAGCAGUGGGGAAUAUGGCACAAUGGGCGCAAGCCUGAUGCAGCGACGCCGCGGGAGGGAUGGAGGCCUGCGGGUUGUGAACCUCUUUCGCCAGUGAAGCAGGCCUGCCUCGUUUGUGGGUGGGUUGACGGUAGCUGGAGAAGAAGCGCCGGCUAACUACGUG